Molecule: ribosomal RNA, 198 nt
Filed under: uncultured Spirochaetaceae bacterium
Lineage: Bacteria; Pseudomonadati; Spirochaetota; Spirochaetia; Spirochaetales; Spirochaetaceae
Description: partial 16S ribosomal RNA
Rfam family: Bacterial small subunit ribosomal RNA
Source: RNAcentral
UCAAAUCAUCAUGCCCUUAUGUUCUGGGCUACACACGUGCUACGAAUGGCCGGUACAGACGGACGCAAAGCCGCGAGGUGGAGCAAAUCGCAGAAAAUCGCUCUCAGUUCGGAUUGGAGUCUGAAACCCGACUCCAUGAAGGUGGAAUCGCUAGUAAUCGCGCAUCAGCAUGGCGCGGUGAAUACGUUCCCGGGCCUU